UACGGAGGGGGCUAGCGUUGUUCGGAAUUACUGGGCGUAAAGCGCACGUAGGCGGACUGGAAAGUCAGGGGUGAAAUCCCGGGGCUCAACCCCGGAACUGCCCUUGAAACUCCCGGUCUUGAGGUCGAGAGAGGUGAGUGGAAUUCCGAGUGUAGAGGUGAAAUUCGUAGAUAUUCGGAGGAACACCAGUGGCGAAGGCGGCUCACUGGCUCGAUACUGACGCUGAGGUGCGAAAGCGUGGGGAGCAAAC
This 250-nucleotide ribosomal RNA is filed under the name uncultured bacterium. RNAcentral's name for it is "partial 16S ribosomal RNA". It matches the Rfam family "Bacterial small subunit ribosomal RNA", at positions 524 to 773 of the family's 1533-position model. The record is from RNAcentral.